GCUGGGGCGAUGGCUCCAUGGAUAAAGUGCAUGCAUGCUGCAUAAGUAUCAGAGUUCAGACCCCAAACCCUCACAGAAACGCCAGGCAGGUGUCCUGUGGUCUGUCUGCAAUCCCAUCAUGACCAGGAAGCAGAGACAAGAUCCUGGCACAAGCUGGCUAACUGGAUGAGGUGUCGAGAUUAAAGGUUUGCACCACCAUGCCCAUGGAGGAAGAUUUAAAGAAGACAGCUCACAAAGAAGGAGGAGGAGUGUAAGGGUGUGAAACUGGGGUUGUGGAAAAGAAGAACCCACAAAGCAGCAAAGACCAGCUACAGAAGAGGGGGCUGAAGGAAUGCUAAGGGAGACUAGGCAGAGUGCUGGCAUUGGGACCUGUCAUGGGCGCUGCCACUGUGGGUACCUGCACAAGCUCAGCCAGCAUCCCAACAGGCAGCACGCAGUGGGCUCGGUGGGCUAGUAACAGAAACAAAGAGGACAUGAAAGAA
This is a long non-coding RNA of Grammomys surdaster, 482 nucleotides long. RefSeq lists it as uncharacterized. The record is from RefSeq and is a predicted model, not a curated record. NCBI's taxonomy places the organism in Eukaryota, Metazoa, Chordata, Mammalia, Rodentia, Muridae. The transcript is spliced from 3 exons.